GCGCCGUUAGUUUAUCGGUAGAAUGACUGCCUUCCACGAAGUAGAGAGGGGUUCAAUUCCCCUACGGCGCA
Molecule: transfer RNA, 71 nt
Filed under: Candidatus Pacearchaeota archaeon
Lineage: Archaea; Nanobdellati
Description: tRNA-Gly
Rfam family: tRNA
About the family: Transfer RNA (tRNA) molecules are approximately 80 nucleotides in length. Their secondary structure includes four short double-helical elements and three loops (D, anti-codon, and T loops). Further hydrogen bonds mediate the characteristic L-shaped molecular structure. tRNAs have two regions of fundamental functional importance: the anti-codon, which is responsible for specific mRNA codon recognition, and the 3' end, to which the tRNAs corresponding amino acid is attached (by aminoacyl-tRNA synthetases). tRNAs cope with the degeneracy of the genetic code in two manners: having more than one tRNA (with a specific anti-codon) for a particular amino acid; and 'wobble' base-pairing, i.e. permitting non-standard base-pairing at the 3rd anti-codon position.
Source: RNAcentral